CAGUCGCCGCGGUAAUACAGAGGGUGCAAGCGUUAAUCGGAAUUACUGGGCGUAAAGCGCGCGUAGGUGGUUCGCCAAGUUGGAUGUGAAAUCCCCGGGCUCAACCUGGGAACUGCAUCCAAAACUGGCGAGCUAGAGUAUGGUAGAGGGUGGUGGAAUUUCCUGUGUAGCGGUGAAAUGCGUAGAUAUAGGAAGGAACAUCAGUGGCGAAGGCGACCACCUGGACUGAUACUGACACUGAGGUGCGAAAGCGUGGGGAGCAAACAGGAUUAGAUACCCCGGUAGUCCCUGUCUCUUAUAC
This 301-nucleotide ribosomal RNA is filed under the name uncultured bacterium. RNAcentral's name for it is "partial 16S ribosomal RNA". It matches the Rfam family "Bacterial small subunit ribosomal RNA", at positions 509 to 807 of the family's 1533-position model. The record is from RNAcentral.